CGUAGGGUGCGAGCGUUGUCCGGAAUUACUGGGCGUAAAGAGCUCGUAGGUGGUUUGUCGCGUUGUCCGUGAAAACUCACAACUCAAUUGUGGGCGUGCGGGCGAUACGGGCAGACUGGAGUACUGCAGGGGAGACUGGAAUUCCUGGUGUAGCGGUGAAAUGCGCAGAUAUCAGGAGGAACACCGGUGGCGAAGGCGGGUCUCUGGGCCGAUACUGACGCUGAGGAGCGAAAGCGUGGGGAGCGAACAGG
This 251-nucleotide ribosomal RNA is filed under the name uncultured bacterium. Its description in RNAcentral is "partial 16S ribosomal RNA". It matches the Rfam family "Bacterial small subunit ribosomal RNA", at positions 526 to 776 of the family's 1533-position model. The record is from RNAcentral.